This 61-nucleotide ribosomal RNA is filed under the name Funneliformis mosseae. RNAcentral's name for it is "partial 28S ribosomal RNA". It matches the Rfam family "Eukaryotic large subunit ribosomal RNA", at positions 1 to 57 of the family's 3401-position model. Lineage: Eukaryota; Fungi; Glomeromycota; Glomeromycetes; Glomerales; Glomeraceae. The record is from RNAcentral.
GAUACUCAAUCAAAUCAGGUAAGAAUACCCGCUGAACUUAAGCAUAUCAAUAAGCGGAGGA